GCUUGCACUGAUUUUAACAAUGAAGCGAGUGGCGAACUGGUGAGUAACACGUGGGAAAUCUGCCCAGAAGCAGGGGAUAACACUUGGAAACAGGUGCUAAUACCGUAUAACAACAAAAUCCGCAUGGAUUUUGUUUGAAAGGUGGCUUCGGCUAUCACUUCUGGAUGAUCCCGCGGCGUAUUAGUUAGUUGGUGAGGUAAAGGCCCACCAAGACGAUGAUACGUAGCCGACCUGAGAGGGUAAUCGGCCACAUUGGGACUGAGACACGGCCCAAACUCCUACGGGAGGCAGCAGUAGGGAAUCUUCCACAAUGGACGAAAGUCUGAUGGAGCAAUGCCGCGUGAGUGAAGAAGGGUUUCGGCUCGUAAAACUCUGUUGUUAAAGAAGAACACCUUUGAGAGUAACUGUUCAAGGGUUGACGGUAUUUAACCAGAAAGCCACGGCUAACUACGUGCCAGCAGCCGCGGUAAUACGUAGGUGGCAAGCGUUGUCCGGAUUUAUUGGGCGUAAAGCGAGUGCAGGCGGUUUUUUAAGUCUGAUGUGAAAGCCUUCGGCUUAACCGGAGAAGUGCAUCGGAAACUGGGAGACUUGAGUGCAGAAGAGGACAGUGGAACUCCAUGUGUAGCGGUGGAAUGCGUAGAUAUAUGGAAGAACACCAGUGGCGAAGGCGGCUGUCUAGUCUGUAACUGACGCUGAGGCUCGAAAGCAUGGGUAGCGAACAGGAUUAGAUACCCUGGUAGUCCAUGCCGUAAACGAUGAGUGCUAAGUGUUGGAGGGUUUCCGCCCUUCAGUGCUGCAGCUAACGCAUUAAGCACUCCGCCUGGGGAGUACGACCGCAAGGUUGAAACUCAAAGGAAUUGACGGGGGCCCGCACAAGCGGUGGAGCAUGUGGUUUAAUUCGAAGCUACGCGAAGAACCUUACCAGGUCUUGACAUCUUCUGCCAAUCUUAGAGAU
RNAcentral lists this ribosomal RNA (955 nucleotides) under Levilactobacillus brevis. Its description in RNAcentral is "bacterial SSU rRNA". It matches the Rfam family "Bacterial small subunit ribosomal RNA", at positions 68 to 1007 of the family's 1533-position model. The record is from RNAcentral. Lineage: Bacteria; Bacillati; Bacillota; Bacilli; Lactobacillales; Lactobacillaceae.